GGCCAUUAUCUGUGGUUGGUGGGUUGGUUGGUAGGUGGGUUGGUUGGUAGGUGGGUUGGUUGGUUGGUAGGUGGGUUGGUUGGUAGGUGGGUUGGUUGGUAGGUGGGUUGGUUGGUAGGUGGGUUGGUUGGUAGGUGGGUGGGUUGGUUGGUUGGUAGGUGGGUUGGUGGGUUGGUAGGUGGGUUGGUUGGUUGGUAGGUGGGUUGGUGGGUUGGUAGGUGGGUUGGUUGGUUGGUAGGUGGGUUGGUUGGUAGGUGGGUUGGUUGGUAGGUGGGUUGGUUGGUUGGUUGGUUGGUUGGUUGGCAGGUAGGUGGGUUCAUUGGUAGGUGGGUUGGUUGGUAGGUGGGUUGGUUGGUAGGUGGGUUGACCCUAGAGGACAUGUGGGGAUGUGUUGUGUCCCUAUGCUAGCAGGCUAGCCUCUAAUGGUUGCAUCUCCCAGAGGCAUUGUGGGAGAGAUCGAUAGUCCUUUGUCACUCUGAAGCAGACACAGUGACACUCGAU
Molecule: long non-coding RNA, 501 nt
Filed under: Salmo salar (Atlantic salmon)
Lineage: Eukaryota; Metazoa; Chordata; Actinopteri; Salmoniformes; Salmonidae
Description: lncRNA (ENSSSAG00000096351.1)
Source: RNAcentral